GACGAACGCUGGCGGCGUGCUUAACACAUGCAAGUCGAACGGAAAGGCCUCUUUCGGGGGGUACUCGAGUGGCGAACGGGUGAGUAACACGUGAGUAACCUGCCCUUGACUUUGGGAUAACUUCAGGAAACUGGGGCUAAUACCGGAUAGGAGCUCCUGCUGCAUGGUGGGGGUUGGAAAGUUUCGGCGGUUGGGGAUGGACUCGCGGCGUAUCAGCUUGUUGGUGGGGUAGUGGCUUACCAAGGCUUUGACGGGUAGCCGGCCUGAGAGGGUGACCGGCCACAUUGGGACUGAGAUACGGCCCAGACUCCUACGGGAGGCAGCAGUGGGGAAUAUUGCACAAUGGGUGGAAGCCUGAUGCAGCAACGCCGUGUGCGGGAUGACGGCCUUCGGGUUGUAAACCGCUUUCGCUCAUGACGAAGCUUUGUGUGACGGUAGUGGGUAAAGAAGCACCGGCUAACUACGUG
This 467-nucleotide ribosomal RNA is filed under the name uncultured bacterium. RNAcentral describes it as "partial 16S ribosomal RNA". It matches the Rfam family "Bacterial small subunit ribosomal RNA", at positions 28 to 507 of the family's 1533-position model. The record is from RNAcentral.